CCCAAGCAAACGUCAGUCAAGUGACACUCCAGCAAUAUGGUCGCUAUAAAAUUAUUACUUUUGACAAUUUUAACCUUCGUUUACGUGUCAAACGCUCUUCUCCCAAUUCAAACCGAGCUGACAGGACCUGACCGAGAAGCUGCUAUUGAUAGAUUAUAUAUUAUACUGCAUGAAGUAUAUCUUGAUGAAGGUCCAGUAUACAAGGUGUUGAACGUGCGUAAGGUUUUUAAUUUAAAAUCUUCUGGUUAUUCUGAGGAUAUUUACAACACGGGUCUGGCUGUUGGAAGAGUUCCCAAGGCGUGUGUAGUCAAAAAGAGUAUCGAGACUCGAUGGCCUUCCAAACCAAUUAACAAAAUUAAGAUCUUUUGUAAUGGUAUUCUCGAAUUUCAGAAGAACUAUUGAAUUAAACCAAUAUAUUUGUUAUUUUUUUUUUGCUUUGUACAUUUUUGUAUUUUAUACUGCAGAGAAAUUCUAUUAUUCAAAAUUUAAUAGUUACUUUGUACUUGUCAAGAUAGAUAACAAAAUUACAUUAAAGUUUAUUUAAAUAUAAUCUAUUUUAUUCAAAAUAUAAUAUUGCAGUUAAUUGAGGAUAGUGAUUUAGAAAAAUUUAGAAAUUUUGAUCCUUAUGUUGGUUGCUUAUUUUUUAAAUUGAAUGAUUUACAUGUAGGAUGAUGCAAGGUAAAAUGGCUCUUUAAAACGUCUGUUUAAAACGUCUGUAAUACUAAUCAUUCCUAAGUCAGCUAGGAAAAAUGUUUUAUUGCAUUUAUCGUCCAAUUCCGGUAUUUAAUUUUAAUUGUAAAGGUUUAUGCACUCAGUUAUACAAAUUAUUAACAAUAUGCAAAUAAAUCUUAGCACAGCAAAAAUACAGUUUUUGUUGAUUGUAAUAUAAUAAAUGUUUCCUUUAGUCUAAUCUGCCUAGAAUAACUUGAUGAAGUGAAACUGAUCAAGUCACAAUCUUGUUAAUGAACAUACCGGCCGAAAACGGGACGUUUUCAGCAUAAUAAAUGGAAUAAACGGGUCAAUUCCUGCUGUAAGAAUGUAUACAUUGUAUAUAUAAAAGGACAAAUGUUGAAGUUCAAGUGAUUUUUCAAUAAAUACAUACCGCAUUUUUUAUUAUUAUUUACAAAACAGUGCGUUAAUUAGACGUGAUAUCUCGUGAAAUAAAGCGAAUUAUUAUAUUUUUUCUCUUCAUUUCUUAUUCGGGAUAAACAAUUAGUUUUGGAAAUUAGAAUUUGUCUUCCACAGUUAGAAAGAAUUUUACGCUUUCCGCGAAAUUUUUUGUAAUUGAUCCCUAUAUAAAGAACAGUGUUUCCCAAGCAAACGUCAGUCAACUGACACUCCAGCAAUAUGGUCGCUUUAAAAUUAUUCUUCUUGACAAUUUUAACCUACGUCUACGUGUCAAACGGUAGUUCGAUCACCAAACCGAUAGAACUGACAGGACCUGAACGAGAAGCUGCUGUAGAACGUUUAUAUACUGGUCUGCAUAAAGUUUCUAUUGCAGGUGGUCCAGUAUACAAAGUGUUGAGAGUUAAUAAGGUGACUAAUCAUAAAAUAAGUAGUCUUCCUUCAGACAAUAGUACUAGUUUCUCUGUGGAUACCUACCAUGUUGAUCUGGUUGUUGGAAGAGUUAUUAAGAAGUGUAUAGUCCAAAUCACAAUCCAAAAUUAUCCGCCCACGACGGUCCGUAAUAGCAUUUCGAUCCUGUGUAAUGGGAAACUGGAAUUUAGAAUGAACUAUUGAGCAGUCGUCGAAUGAAUUGAACUAUUGAACUAAUAUAUUUUUCCAUUUUGUGGUAUAUACGUUUUAAACUGCAAAAAGGGUUUGGGUUAUUAUCUUCAAAACUUCACUACAUCAAUUUGUAUUUGCAAGAUUAAUAAUAAAAUUAGAUUCAGAAAAAGUGAAAAAGGUUCAGCUGUACUUGAUAUCUCGUGACAUAAAGCGAAUUAUUAUUUUUUCAGCUUCAUUUAUUAUACGGGAAUUUAUAAUUGAUCUUGCAUAGUUAUAAAUUAUUUAUUUACGCUUUAUGUAAAAUGUUUUAAAAUGCAUCCCUAUAUAAAGAACAGUGUUUCCCAAGCAAACGUCAGUCAAGUGACACUCCAGCAAUAUGGUCGCUAAUAAAUUUUUACUUUUGACAAUUUUAACCUACGUCUACGUGUCAAACGCUGAUAUUCUCCCGGAACCAAGCGAGCUGACAGGACCUGAACGAGAAGCUGCUAUUAAUAGAUUAUAUAUUGCACUGUAUGAAAUAUAUGUUGAUGAAGGUCCUGAAUACAGGGUGAUCAAAGUGAGUAAGAUUUUUAAUUUAAAAUCUCCUGGUUAUUCUGAGGAUACUUACGAUGUGGAUCUGGCUCUUGGAAGAAUUCCCAAGCAGUGUGUAGUCAAAAUGAGUAUCGAUACUCGAACGCCUUUCAGAACAAUUAAAAAAAUUAAGAUCCUGUGUAAUGGUAAACUGGAAUUUCAGAAGAUCUAUUAAACCAGAAUAUUUGUCAUUUUUUUU
This is an RNA transcript of Drosophila sulfurigaster albostrigata, 2497 nucleotides long. RefSeq lists it as uncharacterized. NCBI's taxonomy places the organism in Eukaryota, Metazoa, Arthropoda, Insecta, Diptera, Drosophilidae. The transcript is spliced from 4 exons. The record is from RefSeq and is a predicted model, not a curated record.